RNAcentral lists this ribosomal RNA (490 nucleotides) under bacterium Zd23. RNAcentral describes it as "bacterial SSU rRNA". It matches the Rfam family "Bacterial small subunit ribosomal RNA", at positions 160 to 636 of the family's 1533-position model. The record is from RNAcentral.
GUGCUAAUCCCGUAUAACAAUCAAAACCGCAUGGUUUUGAUUUGAAAGGCGCUUUCGGGUGUCGCUGAUGGAUGGACCCGCGGUGCAUUAGCUAGUUGGUGAGGUAACGGCUCACCAAGGCCACGAUGCAUAGCCGACCUGAGAGGGUGAUCGGCCACAUUGGGACUGAGACACGGCCCAAACUCCUACGGGAGGCAGCAGUAGGGAAUCUUCGGCAAUGGACGAAAGUCUGACCGAGCAACGCCGCGUGAGUGAAGAAGGUUUUCGGAUCGUAAAACUCUGUUGUUAGAGAAGAACAAGGAUGAGAGUAACUGUUCAUCCCUUGACGGUAUCUAACCAGAAAGCCACGGCUAACUACGUGCCAGCAGCCGCGGUAAUACGUAGGUGGCAAGCGUUGUCCGGAUUUAUUGGGCGUAAAGCGAGCGCAGGCGGUUUCUUAAGUCUGAUGUGAAAGCCCCCGGCUCAACCGGGGAGGGUCAUUGGAAACUGG